Molecule: long non-coding RNA, 1860 nt
Organism: Empidonax traillii (willow flycatcher)
Lineage: Eukaryota; Metazoa; Chordata; Aves; Passeriformes; Tyrannidae
Exons: 4
Source: RefSeq, a predicted model, not a curated record
AGAUCAUUGACCAAACUGCUUUUAGAUCCUGAAACUGAAAUUAGGAUUUUGCUCAAGCCAUCUCUCCAACUUUUGAAUGAGGCAAAAGGAGUGAAAAGUGCAUGGAGUAGGGGGAGGAAGGUGACCACAACCCUUUCUGAAGAGAGAAGCGUUACUCUGUCUUGACCCUUCAUGACCAUGUCUGCCUAAUGACACCGUGGUGAAACAACUGUGUACUUGUGUACUUCAUUUUGGACCAAGACCUCCUGGAUUUGUACCACCAGACAUCUUUGGAGGAUCUCCUUCCUCUUCCUUUGCCAUACCUAGCUAACCCGUAUCUUCUGGAAAAAGAAAAAGGCAGCAGGAUUGGUCUCGAGAGAGGUACAUUCUCACUGUUUAGAUGAGUUUGAGUCACGCCACUCUUUAAUUCUGGAAAGCAUCUUACGUUAACAUCUUGCCUAGGAGUGUUCUCACCACAGCUGAGCCCAAGAACAUGAGCUUUGGCCCACUGGCUCUGCCUAGCAAAGUAACAGAACUUUGUGAGCUUGAGGCUACACAGCUCCAAUUGCUCUAAUUACACAGCCAGGAAUUUUACAAUUGUACAAUAAGUCAACCUCUUACGGGGACUAAUGCUUAAAAUGGAAAUUCUAGAUUGCUGAGAAUGAGAAAAGGAUUUAUAUGGUUAAAGAUCUGUGUUUGCUAUUUACUAAACCUAACUGCAUUAACUAACUUCUAUUCACAAUUUUUUCUUGCUAUAAAUUAGAGUCUGUUAUUUUUGCUUUGGCCUUUAAGCUCAAACCUGGUUUCUGAUUUUAAGAUGGUCCUCAGACAGCGGAAUCAUAGGAAAAGAUUAUGUGCUAGACUAGAGAAAAAGCUUGGUUAACUGGUGCAUGUUAGCUAAUGCUGAGCUAAUUUUAACCUCUUUUUGCUACCUUAUAAACAAAGUCUUUGGUAUUAGACUUGUCUUACUAGAUUCCUUACGUGUUCAGUUACGUUUAUACUAUAAACUCAAAUUCCUGAAACAUUACAGGCCAGUUUGAGCAGAAGAAAAAUGUAGCCUUAAAGGUUUGAUUCAGUAAUACUACUAGCAGUGAAGGUUAGGAAAAAUAGGAAUAAUGUUUUAAGUACUGUACAGAAGCAAUAAUGUGAAAUUGUUCUGGUGAAUAAUUUAUUUUAAAGGCCUAAACUAUUUUUCAUCAAAGAUUUUGUCACCUAAAUGUCUAAAUUUUCUUAGGAAAUACAUUGAGGAGGCCCAUCUAAACAGAGAUGAAGCUAUACAGAAAUGAAAAGGUUAAAAGUAGUCUGGGGGUGGGGUUUAACAUGCCAGUCUCACAGACAUUUUAUGAGAUUCGCAAAUACUCAUGCAGCCCCUCUCCAAACUAGUGAUCUUUGCCUAAAAAAUGAGCACAGCACUGUGAUUGUGGGGAUUACAAUGCAUGCUAGAAAUACCCCCUUUGCCCUUUUUUUUAAGAGGCAGGCCCAGUGCCAAAGAGCCUGAAGAAAGGCAAAUUCCCAUGCCAUAUCACAGAGCAUACUCCCCACAUUUUAUCCAGAUUUCCCAUCAGCCAAAUGGGACUGAAGAACAGGAGAAUUGGGCAGUUACUUCUGCUGGCGCUUCAGAGUACAAGACUGUGAGUUCAGUAAUUAAUAGGCUUUCACUCUUUUGCUGUGCUACACAAAAAGAAAUGAGCAUAAUAAGCAAAUACUAUUUUGUUAUUCUGUGCUUUACAUCUCUGCUCACGUAUAUCAUGGUAGCGUAAAAGUUACAGCUGAGGCAAGAGAAGUUCUUUCAGGUUGUUGAAAUAACUGGUGCAGCGUAAUUUGCUAAUGAUGCAGAUAGGAAAAGGUUUGGAGGGUUCUGCAGAGGUUUUGUGCUUGUGC